This 497-nucleotide ribosomal RNA is filed under the name uncultured bacterium. RNAcentral describes it as "partial 16S ribosomal RNA". It matches the Rfam family "Bacterial small subunit ribosomal RNA", at positions 28 to 507 of the family's 1533-position model. The record is from RNAcentral.
GAUGAACGCUGGCGGCGUGCCUAAUACAUGCAAGUCGAGCGAACAGACGAGGAGCUUGCUCCUCUGACGUUAGCGGCGGACGGGUGAGUAACACGUGGAUAACAUACCUAUAAGACUGGGAUAACUUCGGGAAACCGGAGCUAAUACCGGAUAAUAUAUUGAACCGCAUGGUUCAAUAGUGAAAGACGGUUUUGCUGUCACUUAUAGAUGGAUCCGCGCCGCAUUAGCUAGUUGGUAAGGUAACGGCUUACCAAGGCAACGAUGCGUAGCCGACCUGAGAGGGUGAUCGGCCACACUGGAACUGAGACACGGUCCAGACUCCUACGGGAGGCAGCAGUAGGGAAUCUUCCGCAAUGGGCGAAAGCUUGACGGAGCAACGCCGCGUGAGUGAUGAAGGUCUUCGGAUCGUAAAACUCUGUUAUUAGGGAAGAACAAAUGUGUAAGUAACUAUGCACGUCUUGACGGUACCUAAUCAGAAAGCCACGGCUAACUACGUG